GACGAACGCUGGCGGCGUGCUUAACACAUGCAAGUCGAACGGAAAGGCCCUGCUUUUGUGGGUUUCUCGAGUGGCGAACGGGUGCGUGACACGUGAGUAACCUUCCCUUCUCUUUGGGAUAACUUCAGGACACUGGGGCUAUUACCGGAUAGGAUCUCCUGCUGCCUGGUGGGCAUUGGAAAGUUGCGGCGGUUUGGGAUGGACUCGCGGCUUAUCCGCUUGUUGGUGUGGUAGUGGCUUACCCAGGCUGUGACGGGUACGCGGCAUGAGAGGGGAAACGGGGAAAAGGGGACUGAGAGACGGCGCAGAGUGGUAAGGGAGACAGGAGGGGGGAAGAUGGCCCAAAGGGCGGAAGUGUGAGGCAGAAACGCCGCGUGAGGGAUGACGGACUGCGGGUAGAAAAAAGCUGAAGGGUGAGACGAAGCGUGAGUGACGGUAACGGAUGAAGAAGCACCGGCUAACUACGUG
This 468-nucleotide ribosomal RNA is filed under the name uncultured bacterium. Its description in RNAcentral is "partial 16S ribosomal RNA". It matches the Rfam family "Bacterial small subunit ribosomal RNA", at positions 28 to 507 of the family's 1533-position model. The record is from RNAcentral.